This 497-nucleotide ribosomal RNA is filed under the name uncultured bacterium. Its description in RNAcentral is "partial 16S ribosomal RNA". It matches the Rfam family "Bacterial small subunit ribosomal RNA", at positions 28 to 507 of the family's 1533-position model. The record is from RNAcentral.
GAUGAACGCUGGCGGCGUGCCUAAUACAUGCAAGUAGAGCGAACAGACGAGGAGCUUGCUCCUUUGACGUUAGCGGCGGACGGGUGAGUAACACGUGGAUAACCUACCUAUAAGACUGGGAUAACUUCGGGAAACCGGAGCUAAUACCGGAUAAUAUAUUGAACCGCAUGGUUCGAUAGUGAAAGACGGCUUUGCUGUCACUUAUAGAUGGAUCUGCGCCGCAUUAGCUAGUUGGUAAGGUAACGGCUUACCAAGGCAACGAUGCGUAGCCGACCUGAGAGGGUGAUCGGCCACACUAGAACUGAGACACGGUCCAGGGUCCUACGGGAGGCAGCAGUAGGGAAUCUUCGGCAAUGGGCGAAAGCCUGACGGAGCAACGCCGCGUGAGUGAAGAAGGUCUUCGGAUCGUAAAACUCUGUUAUUAGGGAAGAACAAACGUGUAAGUAACUGUGCACGUCUUGACGGUACCUAAUCAGAAAGCAACGGCUAACUACGUG